Molecule: ribosomal RNA, 700 nt
Filed under: uncultured bacterium
Lineage: Bacteria
Description: bacterial SSU rRNA
Rfam family: Bacterial small subunit ribosomal RNA
Source: RNAcentral
UCCUGGCUCAGGACAAACGCUGGCGGCGUGUAUUAGGCAUGCAAGUCGAGCGCGAAGCGGGCCUUCGGGCCCGUGGAGAGCGGCGGACGGGUGAGUAACACGUGGUAACCUGCCCCGGAGUGGGGGAUAACCCGGCGAAAGCCGGGCUAAUACCGCAUACGGCGCCCGGUGGGAAUCCGGGAGGUCAAAGCUCCGGCGCUCCGGGAGGGGCCCGCGUCCGAUUAGCUGGUUGGUGGGGUAACGGCUCACCAAGGCGACGAUCGGUAGCUGGUCUGAGAGGAUGAUCAGCCACACGGGGACUGAGAACGGCCCCGACUCCUACGGGAGGCAGCAGCUAAGAAUCUUGCGCAAUGGGCGAAAGCCUGACGCAGCAACGCCGCGUGCGGGAGGAAGGCCUUCGGGUUGUAAACCGCUUUUGCGAGGGAAGAAGUCUGACGGUACCUCGCGAAUAAGCCACGGCUAACUACGUGCCAGCAGCCGCGGUAAUACGUAGGUGGCAAGCGUGUCCGGAUUUACUGGGCGUAAAGCGCCCGCAGACGGCCCGGCAGUUNNCAGUGAAAUCUCCGGCUCACCNGGGAGGGUCCUGGAAAACUGCAGCUUGAGCAGGNAGGGGAUGNGAUUNCNGUGUAGCGUGAAUGCGAGAUUCGGAGGACACAGCGCGAAGGGCAUCUNGCCUGUCUGACGUCAGGGCGAAGCGGGG